ACUGACGCUGAGGCGCGAAAGCGUGGGGAGCGAACAGGAUUAGAUACCCUGGUAGUCCACGCGGUAAACGAUGAAUGCUAGGUGUUGCGGGUAUCGACCCCUGCAGUGCCGGAGUAAACACAAUAAGCAUUCCGCCUGGGGAGUACGGCCGCAAGGUUGAAACUCAAAGGAAUUGACGGGGGCCCGCACAAGCAGCGGAGCAUGUUGUUUAAUUCGAAGCAACGCGAAGAACCUUACCAGGUCUUGACAUCCGAUUAAAGCCAUAGAGAUAUGGUGUACCUUCGGGAGAAUCGAGACAGGUGGUGCAUGGUUGUCGUCAGCUCGUGUCGUGAGAUGUUGGGUUAAGUCCCGCAACGAGCGCAACCCUUAUGGUCAGUUACUAACACGUAGCGGUGAGGACUCUGACAAGACUGCCGGGGACAACUCGGAGGAAGGUGGGGACGACGUCAAAUCAUCAUGCCCCUUAUGACCUGGGCUACAAACGUGCUACAAUGGUGACUACAAAGAGGAGCGAGACCGUAAGGUGGAGCGGAUCUCAAAAAAGUCAUCCCAGUUCGGAUUGUGGGCUGCAACCCGCCCACAUGAAGUUGGAGUGCUAGU
Molecule: ribosomal RNA, 600 nt
Filed under: uncultured bacterium
Lineage: Bacteria
Description: bacterial SSU rRNA
Rfam family: Bacterial small subunit ribosomal RNA
Source: RNAcentral